UUUCUUUGUUUUUUAAUUAUUUUAUAGGCUAUUAAGAGCUAUACGCUAUUAAUUGUGUGCCGUUUAAGAUCUCGUUUAGGGUUGGGUAUUGCGGAUGUGGAUGUCUGAUGUGCCAUAUACAUAAUUGUAUUUUGCUCGGGACCUGUGAUGUUGAUAAACAGUGAAAGGCAGUGACUGUGUUUAAAGCUAUAGCCUACAGACUGUGUGUGUGUGUGGAGGGAGGGGGGGGACUCUUCCUAAUCGUGUCACGGCAAUAUGUUUUCUCUGUCCCAAUGUGAUUGAAUUUAGUCAUGGACAGGCAGAAGAAGAGACUAAAUGAGGCCGUGUUGCCGUGGAGGUCUUUGCUGUUGAGGCAGUGAUGCAGCAUGAUUUCGCUGGCGCUGUGAUAGAGGGCGCUUGGUGAAUACGUGGAUCUACGUACUCACUUGGGGGAUGGGAACAUGUGCAAAGUAUCUAAUCAAGACGAUCACUGCCUGCUAGACCCACCAAGCCCCUGACGACUGUCACAUACAGGUCAUGUGCACCUGCUCAGAAGUUGCAUGCAUCAACCAAUGGCUGGGUGUCACGUCAUCGACUGUUCUGCCAGGCACCAGAUUGCUAUAACAUGUGGUUAGUUUAUAAGUAAAAUAACUAUCUGGCAUGCACUAAUCUGUUGUGGAAAGAUUCUGUUUGUAAACCAAGAUAAUCUGUUUGGAUUUAAUGGGAUGCUAGGAUAAGGAGCAGCACUAGUUCCCGUGUUUUGCUUGUCUUCACUGGUUAUUUGGACAAAUCACGAUUUCGAAGGUGUUACAGGCUGACUACACCGCUCGCGCGACUCGAGCGUUGCAAAAGAAAUGUAGAAAUCUAUAUUAUUCAAUUAUUGCACCCACACUGCUCGCGCGCACCAACGAGCGUUUGCGUUGCCAAGGGCUAAAAUAGAAGUCAGUUCUAUUUGUGACGCAGAUCGCCCUGCCUCUCCCAUCUCCUCAUUGGUUUAUAGAAGCAGGUACCCACGUGCCAUCUCCUCAUUGGUUAUACGCGCGUGGGUGACUGAAAGACGAACGAGGUCAGUGGCGGUAAUGCACCUAAUUUAUGAAAGUUGCCAAUCGCAAUAUAAAGUCAAGAGAAGAAAAAGCCUGGAAGGAAGAGAGACUAGAAACGAGUCGGUUGACUGUUUUAUUUGUGGAUUAAUUGGCGGUGUAGAGGACCUUGUGCAUUUCAGGUAAAAUAACUCAAUGUUUAUAUCCCAGGGCAAUUUAGCAACAGCAAUCUAGCUAAAUAGGACAAAUUAGCUAGCAAGUGCAAGCUAACUAGCUAAAUUGCCAUAAAUGUUUAAUGCUUUUCGACCUGUCCCCAAAUUAAUAUAAUUGGUUCAGAGUUUGUUUUGAUAUUUUAACCUGCGUGUCAUGAUCGCAUUUGGUGUGGGGGGGACAAAAUAAAUUUAUGCAUGAUGGAGCACGCGCGCAACCGGUUUGGAUUCCGUGUUAGCAUUUUUCGAAAUUUGGGAAGGGGAUGUGGCGCAUAACUUGUAAAGAGAGACGGUGGAGCUCCUCAUUCUAACAUUUCUUUAUCUCUUCUCUUAACAUGUAUGGACCCAGAACUUCUUUUUUUUAAAGGGGUGGAUCAGCUUAAUAUUGCGGAAAGAUUGUUGCUUCCAUCAAUGUAAUUGUCUGCAUCAUUUCCAAUCCCCCAUAUGCAUACAUAUACACAUAUAUACAUACACAUACCUAUAUAGACAUACAUACUUUUUUUAGAAUAUACUUUUAUUAUUCCCCGCAAACCCUACCACCCUUCCCCCAAUUGGAGUAAACCAAUAAACAACAACACUUAGGCUUCUACCUUCAGUCCAUACAUCUUAUACACAUUUUACAGACAAUCUAUUUUACAACAGUUAUAUCUUGUUUGUUUUUAGUCCUUCCUCUUUUUCUGAUAUCCAUCCAGUUUGAUUUCCAUUUGUAACUGUGCUAUUUCACAACAUUUCUGAACCCAUAUACAUUUUACAGACCCCGUAUGUUUUACGUUGGUUAUCUUGAUAUUAGUCCCACCCUUCAGCUCCAUUCAACCCCUCCCAUCUCUCUCUCAACACCAUCCAUUUUGGAUUUCUAUUUGCCAUAUAUUUUUCAACUGUGCUGUGAUGCUUCACAAAAGUACUGGACCUUCCUAUUCUCAUAGCUUAAACAGAUUGUAAAUUAAAAAUAAACAUUUUUGCUAAAAUAAUCAUUAUAUUACUGAUUGAUUGACUAUGACUUUUCAAAUCAUCCAGUAUUGCUAUCUGCAGCGUUAGUUCUAGGAAAAUGUUGCAAUUCUUCAGCCAUUCCUGGACCUGUGACCAAAAACGAGCUACAUAUGGACAAUACCAAAAUAAAUGAUCUAAUGACUCUGCCUCCUCACAGCAAAAUCUUCAGAGCUGGGAAGAUUGUAUCCCCCAUAUAUAUAACAUUCUAUUGGUUGCAAGAAUUUUGUAUAGUAAUUUAAAUUGAAAAAUUAGAAGUUUUGAAUCCGGCGUUGUUUUGCGUAUCAGUUCAUAAACCAUGUGCCAUGGAAUGGAUACAUCGAAAAUAUCUUCCCAACUAUUUUGCAAUUUAUAUGGCACAACUGUCAGUUUUUGGUCCUUAAAUGAAAUUGGUAUAUGUUUUUAUUUAUCACACUUUCUUUAACCAUUUAUGUUCUUUAAUACAGGGCCGACAUACAAGUUCCUUACCUUUUUCCCCUUCUACUUGCCUCUUCCAUUUUUGUGGUAAUGCUGCAAUUAGUUGGUUGUAAUUUUCAGUAGAGCAGACAUUUCCAUAUGUCUGUGUUAGCUGCAUGUGUGACAUAACUCCACCAGUCCUAUUUAUGAUAUAAUUCACAAAAAUUAUACCUUUUUUAAAAAAUUCUUCAAAAAAUAUGUUUUUUUAAUCAAUUAGUAUAUUUGAGUUUAACCACAAUAUUUGUUGUAUUAUUUGUUCUGUCUAUUCAGGUGGAUUAAACUGAAAUUGCAACCAACUCUCUAAGGCUUGUUUAAAAAAUAACGAUAUUUUGGAGAUCGUCAAGAUUGCCGUUGGAAGCUUACUCGGACCAACGCGCAGCGUGAUAUGGGUUCACAUGUUUAUUGAAUGAAACGCACAAAAACAAUAAAGAACGAACGAAACGUAAAGCUCAUGCAGUGCUCACAGGCAACUACACAGAAACAAGAUCCCACAAAACACAGUGGGGAAAUGGCUGCCUAAAUAUGAUCCCCAAUCAGGGACAACGAUAAACAGCUGCCUCUGAUUGGGAACCAUACCAGGCCAACAUAGAAAUUAACUACCUAGAUAGGAACACCCCCCCCCUAGUCACACCCCGACCUAACCCAAAAUAGAGAAUAAAAAGGCUCUCUAUGGUCAGGGCGUGACAAUUAUUUCCUUUUCAAACAACCGAAAGUGAGCAGGUGUAAUCUGAAUAAAGGGAAAAAGGCCAUUCUUGAACAUAGGAUGAGACAUUCCUACCAAUUUACUAGAGAACCAGUUUAGAUUUAAGCAUAACUUUUGUAUGACUGAUGCCUUUAGUGAGAGGUCUUAUGCUUUAAUAUUUAAUCAUUUCUGCCCUCCGAAUUCAUAUUCGUUAUAUAAAUAGGCCCUUUUAAUUUUGUCUGGCUUGCCAUUCCAAAUAAAAUUGAAUAUUAUUUGUUCAUAUAAUUUAAAUAGCAGGUCACUAGGUGUAGGCAAAACCAUAAGCAAAUAGGUCAACUGUGAUAUGACUAAAGAGUUAAUCAAGGUGAUUUUUCAACAAAUACAGAUAUUUUCCUUUCCAUGGUAGCAAGAUCUUAUCUAUUUUGCUAACUUUCUAUAAACAUUUAUUGGAGUGAGAUCAUUUCUUUCUUUUGGGAUUUGUAUACUGAGUAUGUCCACAUCUCCGUCAGACCAUUUAAUUGGUAAACUACACAGUAAUGUAAAAUGUGAAUUUUUUUGUGAUUCAAUAUGGAAUAUAGUAAGUACACUUAUCAUAAUUUGGUUUUAAUCCAGAGAGGAUAGCAAAAGUAUCUAGAUCCUCUAAAAGGCCGUGGAUAGAUUCUAAUUGUGGUUAAAAAAGAAAACAUGAAUCAUCAGCUUACAAUGACACCUUAGAUUUUAAGCCACGGAUUUCUAAUUCCUUAAUAUUAUUGUUUGAUCUAAUUUAAACAGCUAACAUUUCGAUGGCAAUAAUAAAUAGAUAUAUUCUAGGCAUUUAUAUAUAAACUCCAGUCGUACUUUUUCAAAAGCCUUUUCAAAAUCAGCUAUGAAAACCAGGCCCGGUGUCCCCGAUAUUUCAUAGUAUUCUAUUGUUUCCAGUAUUUGUCUUAUAUUAUCUCCAAUGUAUCGUCCAUGUAAAAAAAACAUUCUGAUUAGGAUUAAUAAUAUCUGACAAUACUUUAAUUCUAUGCGCCAAGCAUUUUGCUAUGAUUUUUGCAUCACAACACUGAAGUGUAAGAGGUCUCCAAUUUUUUUUAUGGACUAGAUCUUUAUAUAUAUACACACUCAUACAUACAUCACUUGGGUCCUGUUUCAGAAAUAAUGAUAUCAGAGCUUCUUGUUGCAUGUCUGAUAAUCUACCAUUUAUAUAGGAGUGGUUAAAACAUGCUAAUAAUGGUCCUCUUGAGUAUAUCAAAAAAAGUUACUUCCACUGGUAGGCCAUCCAGCCCUGGAGUUCCCAGCCUUAAAGGAUUUAAUUGCAUCAAGAAGUUCCUCUGUAAUUUGGCCUUCACAUGAGUCUUUCUGUACAGAUGUUAAUUUUACGUUAUUAGCAGAGACAAAAAUCCAUACAAUUAGUUUCAGUUAGUGGAGAUGAAGACUGAAAUGAAAACAUUCUUAAAGUACUUUACUUCCCCUUUCAAAAUAUCAUUCGGUGAAUCAUGCGUGACUCCAUUUGUAACAAGUUAUCACAUUUUUGGUAGCUUUUCUAUAUUGAAGAUUGAAAAAGAAUUUGGUGCAUUUUUCCCCAUCUUCCAUCCAAUUUGCUUUAUUUUUAUCAUAUAUUACACUGGGUCUUUCUUGAAUAAGUUCCUCCAUUUCUUUGUUUUUCCUCUAACGUAUUCGGUGCCUCUAUGGUACAGCUUAAGUUCUGGACCCAGAACUUAAGCAGCUGACCAAUUACAUGAGACUUUAGUUCUGGGUUAACCGAGAGUACAUAUAAACCAGAGGCUGGUGGGAGGAGCUAUAGGAGGACAGGCUCAUUGUAAUGGCUGUAAUGGAUUAAAUAGAACUGUAUCAAACAUAUUGAAACCACAUUUGACUCAGCUCCAUAAAUUACAUUCCAGCCAUUACAAUGAGCCCAUCCUGCUAUAGCUUUUCCCACCAGCCUCCUCUGAUAUAAACUGAUAGGCCUAUACAACAUGGGAAUAUUUUCCAGUCUUGGAUCUCGCCUCGGUUUGCUCUCCUCAUGCAGGAUUUGUAGGCGUAGGGUUUCGAUUUGUUUCAGAAUGAGCGAGCUCUUCAAAUUGUCCCAGUGCGCCUACAGUACUACAAUGGGCAGGGCAACAUGAUUUGAUGAUGCUAUGCUGGGACCAUCCCCACAUCCAAUAAGUCAAAGCUACAAAAACACAGAUGUAGCCUAUAAUAUGUUAUACAGGCUCAGGCCUAUACAGUUUAGAUCGCUCCCACACAUUAAUAUUGCCUACAGGUACUUGGGGAAAAAUGGCAUAUAUCAUGACACAAGGUGAGACCCAGAUGCAGAUGGUUGGAGUCUUAAUGUUUACUUAUCCAAAAGGAGUAGGCAAGAGAAUGGUCGUGGACAGGCAAAAGGUCAAAACCAGAUCAGAGUCCAGGAGGUACAGAAUAGCAGACAGGCUUGUGGUCAAGGCAGGCACAGAGUCCAGAAACAGGCAAGGGUCAAAACUGGGAAGACUAGAAAAAGGAGAAUAGCAAAAAGCAGGCGAACGGGAAAACCACUGGCUGACUUGGCACAUACAAGACAAACUGGCACAGAGACAGGAAACACAGGGAUAAAUACACUGGGGAAAACAAGCGACACCUGGAGGGGGUGGAGACAAUAGCGAGGACAGGUGAAACUGAUCAGGGUGUUACACAUAUAUGACUGGUAUUGGAUAUAUCAACUUUUAGGGUGAAUAUGCAUAGGCUGUCUUCUUGUAAUGUGUUCCUGCAUACUAUCUAACUUCUUGUUAGUACAGUAGGUAACCAGUUCCAUUGAAGACAUCAUCAUUUAUUUGUCAUAUGUUUAAUCUUUUGGGGGCUAUUGCCAAUAGGGGAAUUUAAUAAUAAUCGCUUCAGAAGCAGAGCAUAUUUAAGUUGUAAUGAGUUAGAAAAAGAAUGUGCGGCAGGAUCGUAAGUCAGCAAGCAUUGCAAGGAUGGAUCCCUUCGUACUCAAUUCCAUUCUGAGAGGGCCUAGCUACAUAGUUUUGGAAAGGGACUGUUUUGAACAGGUGACAAUACAGAGACAGCAGACAGCUGUGUGUUGUCUGUGCUGCAUCUCAACGAGUGAGCGUUUCUGCAGAGAGGACGAAGGGUUGACAGUGGAAUGAGUUCACUCAAAGUUGACUGUAGUUGUUAAUACAGAGCACAAUUCUCUCCAAGGAACAUCCCGUCUUCUGUGGGUCAGUUGCAUCGUAAGGUAGGAGGGAUAUGCUGGAUGAACCACUGCAACUGUGUAUUGAAUGUGAAGGGAUUUCAGGAUGACCACACCCAGAUCAAUGCCUGUGCCAUCCCUGGCAGGACUGGUAAAUGCAGCAAUCUCAUAGCACUAGAAAUUCAUUAACCGAUCAAUCAAUUUGAGUAAUAUCUUCAUGCUGCUCACAAAAACAUCUCUUUUGAGGUGGCUGAAGAUUGAUGAAUUGUGGUACUACUUGGUGCUUGUUUAGAGAUCCUAAUACUCUACACAGCUACAGCUGUGGCAAAUACAGUACCAGUCAAAAGUUUGGCCACACCUACUCAUUUUAUAUUUGAUAUUCUUCAAAGUAGACACCCUUUGCCUUGAUGACAGCUUUGCACGCUCUUGGCAUUCUCUCAAACAGCUUCAUGAGGUAGUCACCUGGAAUGCAUUUCAAUAAAGGUAUGCCCUGUUAAAUAGUGGAAUUUCUUUCCUUCUUAAUGUGUUUGAGCCAAUCAGUUGUGUUGUGACAAGGUAGGGGUGGUAAAAGACCAAGUCCAUAUUAUGGCAAGAACAGCUGAAAUAAGCAAAGAGAAACGACAGUCCAUCAUAAAACAAUUUUUGGACUGACCUUCAGUCAAUCAGGAAAAUGUCAAAUAACAGACACAUCUCAACAUCAAUUGUUCAGUGGAGACUGUAAAUUAGGCCUUCAUGGUCAAAUCGGUGCAAAUAUGCAACUGCUAAAGGACACCAAUAAUAAGCUACUUUGAAGAAUCUAAAGUAUAAAAUUUAUUUUGAUUUGUUUAACACUUCUUUUGGUUACUACAUGAUUCCAUAUGUGUUAUUUCAUAGUUUUGAUGUCUUCACUAUUAUUCUACAAUGUAGAAAAUAGUACAAAUAAAGAAAAGCUUACUUCAUUGUUUUAUUUUUUAUUAUUUUCAUUGCAUCAGGGAUAGCGCGCAGGGUGCUGAUUUCACACUAGAGUAGAGUACAGUAUAAUUGACGGUAUUGUACUUUACUGUAUUUUAUACUGUACUGAACUAUACUCUAUUGUACUUUAUCUACUGUAUGCUGUACUGUGAUGUCCAAACUUGUGAAACAUAGAUGUCUAUGAUUGGUAAAGAUUUGGUCCACUCCGGACCAACCAAAUCUUGAAUUGAUCUGGUCUUGUUUGGGUGCGGAGCUCAUUAGAAUAAUAGCCAGUGUGUAAAAAUAAUAUACAAACACUUAUUGUAGUACAAUAACCAAAACAGAU
This is a long non-coding RNA of Salvelinus fontinalis (brook trout), 7774 nucleotides long. RefSeq lists it as uncharacterized. The record is from RefSeq and is a predicted model, not a curated record. The transcript is spliced from 2 exons. NCBI's taxonomy places the organism in Eukaryota, Metazoa, Chordata, Actinopteri, Salmoniformes, Salmonidae.